GAUACGGCGUCGAGCGGCGGACGGGUGAGUAAUGCCUAGGAAAUUGCCCUGGUGUGGGGGAUAACCAUUGGAAACGAUGGCUAAUACCGCAUAAUACCUACGGGUCAAAGAGGGGGACCUUCGGGCCUCUCGCGUCAGGAUAUGCCUAGGUGGGAUUAGCUAGUUGGUGAGGUAAUGGCUCACCAAGGCGACGAUCCCUAGCUGGUCUGAGAGGAUGAUCAGCCACACUGGAACUGAGACACGGUCCAGACUCCUACGGGAGGCAGCAGUGGGGAAUAUUGCACAAUGGGCGCAAGCCUGAUGCAGCCAUGCCGCGUGUGUGAAGAAGGCCUUCGGGUUGUAAAGCACUUUCAGUCGUGAGGAAGGUAGUGUAGUUAAUAGCUGCAUUAUUUGACGUUAGCGACAGAAGAAGCACCGGCUAACUCCGUGCCAGCAGCCGCGGUAAUACGGAGGGUGCGAGCGUUAAUCGGAAUUACUGGGCGUAAAGCGCAUGCAGGUGGUUUGUUAAGUCAGAUGUGAAAGCCCGGGGCUCAACCUCGGAAUAGCAUUUGAAACUGGCAGACUAGAGUACUGUAGAGGGGGGUAGAAUUUCAGGUGUAGCGGUGAAAUGCGUAGAGAUCUGAAGGAAUACCGGUGGCGAAGGCGGCCCCCUGGACAGAUACUGACACUCAGAUGCGAAAGCGUGGGGAGCAAACAGGAUUAGAUACCCUGGUAGUCCACGCCGUAAACGAUGUCUACUUGGAGGUUGUGGCCUUGAGCCGUGGCUUUCGGAGCUAACGCGUUAAGUAGACCGCCUGGGGAGUACGGUCGCAAGAUUAAAACUCAAAUGAAUUGACGGGGGCCCGCACAAGCGGUGGAGCAUGUGGUUUA
RNAcentral lists this ribosomal RNA (870 nucleotides) under Vibrio sp. R4M3. RNAcentral describes it as "bacterial SSU rRNA". It matches the Rfam family "Bacterial small subunit ribosomal RNA", at positions 82 to 948 of the family's 1533-position model. The record is from RNAcentral. Lineage: Bacteria; Pseudomonadati; Pseudomonadota; Gammaproteobacteria; Vibrionales; Vibrionaceae.